This 66-nucleotide transfer RNA is filed under the name Cicadellidae sp. EMHAU-2015-Zz052706. RNAcentral describes it as "tRNA-His". Lineage: Eukaryota; Metazoa; Arthropoda; Insecta; Hemiptera; Cicadellidae. The record is from RNAcentral.
AUUUAGGUAGUUUAGUACAAAAUAUAGAGUUGUGGUUUCUAAGAAAUUUUUUAGUAAUCCUAAGUU